GUACUGUUGCCAAGACACUCUGACACUUGCUCAGAGACUCUGCUGCUGCCGCUGCUGCUCAGGAAUCCUCUGACUCCCGGCACUCCAGUGCCGCACCUGGGCACUCCCCGGCUGUCUGCACCUCCUGUCUUGCUCUUACAUCUGUGGAAGGUAAUCCCCUGUUUACAGUCUGUGGCUGAUGCAUCAGCGGGCUGGUGGCAUCCCCCAAGAACGCUGAAAGCAGCAGAGACUCGGCAGCGGCAAAUGGAAGAAAUUACAAAGCUUUUCCAAGAGACACUGGAGCUUAGCAGCCACUCUCGACCCUGAACAACACCUUACUGGAGGUUUCCCUUUUUCAUUACCUUUUUUCUCACAUCUGUGAGUUUGAUUGUGCUAAAGCCUGGCCACUCUUCAUAUCCUAUUCCCUUUUCUCUAUCAAGCUGAGGUUGAUUUCACCUUUGUCCAGGUCAUUGCAUGCCACCUGGACCUCUGGCUACAGAUUAGUGACCCAGGCAUUAGUGUCACUUAUCUUGAUUUUCUCUUUCACUCAGAGGAUCUCCCAGCCCUGACAAGAAGACAGAUAACAAAUUUCAGAAGCCAAAGCUGAGUUCACCCACCCUACUGCAGCUGUUCUCCACUCAAACCCUUUCCUCCCAUACUUUUACCCAGACAAAACUCUGCUUCCUUGCUCUCAAAUAUGAGUCUUCAGGCAGUCAGACAUAGCAGUGAGAGGCAAGGACAAAGUCUGAUGUGCAAGAGGGUGUACAGCUAUGUGACUCCUGAGUCUUUUCUUUAAAUCUUCUUUCCUCUCGUUUCAGUCACAGCAAGAUUCCAGCACCUACAGCAAAAGACACAGGGUCUGGCCUCCAGGGAACAGACCCAUUCCAUAUGCAGCUCUGAUUCCUUCCUUAACUGACCCUGGACACCAAAAAUGAAUGGCUUAAUCCUAAAAAAAGCUAGUGUGUCAGCACGCAAGUAAAAUGUAUAUUUACACUAAGGCUAAAUUAAUGUCAUUUUGGGACCUGAAUUUAGGGUCCCAAACUGAACAUUUCAG
This 1033-nucleotide long non-coding RNA is filed under the name Zonotrichia albicollis (white-throated sparrow). RNAcentral's name for it is "lncRNA (ENSZALG00000018164.1)". Lineage: Eukaryota; Metazoa; Chordata; Aves; Passeriformes; Passerellidae. The record is from RNAcentral.